RNAcentral lists this ribosomal RNA (472 nucleotides) under uncultured bacterium. RNAcentral describes it as "bacterial SSU rRNA". It matches the Rfam family "Bacterial small subunit ribosomal RNA", at positions 329 to 793 of the family's 1533-position model. The record is from RNAcentral.
CUACGCACUCCUACGGGAGGCAGCAGUGGGGAAUAUUGCACAAUGGGCGCAAGCCUGAUGCAGCCAUGCCGCGUGUAUGAAGAAGGCCUUCGGGUUGUAAAGUACUUUCAGCAGUGAGGAAGGUGGGUAUGUUAAUAGCAUAUUCAUUUGACGUUAGCUGCAGAAGAAGCACCGGCUAACUCCGUGCCAGCAGCCGCGGUAAUACGGAGGGUGCGAGCGUUAAUCGGAAUUACUGGGCGUAAAGCGCAUGCAGGUGGUUUGUUAAGUCAGAUGUGAAAGCCCGGGGCUCAACCUACGGAAUUGCAUUUGAAACUGGCAAACUAGAGUACUGUAGAGGGGGUAGAAUUUCAGGUGUAGCGGUGAAAUGCGUAGAGAUCUGAAGGAAUACCGGUGGCGAAGGCGGCCCCCUGGACAGAUACUGACACUCAGAUGCGAAAGCGUGGGGAGCAAACAGGAUUAGAUACCCUGGUAG